GGAUAAGGCGCUUCCAGGACAGUUCUGUGAAGACAGCUUAUUUCAGGGUCCCAGAGGGAUCUCACAUUUGGGGAAUUUAGAGCUCAAGUAAAGGAGGAGGCUGGUGAAACUAGAAAAUAUUGGCAACCAUCGUAAUGACCAAGACAUCCCCCAGGCUUCUGCUCACCAAAUAACAGUGUCCCAGUGGAUACAAAACUUACAACCGUGAAAACAAUAUAUGUGUGACCUGGUAAACAUUGAUCAAUAGAACUGUAAGCCCCCUCCCGCCAAAAGAUAUAUCUGAUUCCUAACCCCCAGAAUCUGUGAAGGUGACUUUAUUUGGAAAAAAGGGUCUUUUCAGAUAUAAAUAAGUUAAGGACCUCAAGAUGAGAUAAUCCUGGAUUUAGGGUGGACCCUAAAUCCAGAUAGGUGUCCUUAUAAGAGGGGAAGAUACACCGGAUGAAGAUGGAGAUGUGAAGAUGGAGGCACAACCUAAGUGUCCAUAGGCAGAUGGAGGCAGAGAUUGGAGUGAUGUGUCUUCAAACCAAGGAGGACCAGGGACCGCUGGCAGCCACCGGAGGCUGGGAGAGAGGCAUGGAACACGGAUUCUCCAAAAGCAGCCUACCCUGCCCGCACCUCAGUUUCGGACUGCUGGUCUCAUCUCCGGAACUGUGAAAGAGUAAAUUUCUGUUGUUUUAGGCCAACUGGUUUGUGGCAAUCUGUUAUCGAAGAUGUAAGAAACUAAUACAAGUACUAGAUUAUUUUACUGUAUUUUAAAAAGGAAAGAAACACAGCAUUAAAAUAGCA
Hippopotamus amphibius kiboko is the source of this 786-nucleotide long non-coding RNA. RefSeq lists it as uncharacterized. The transcript is spliced from 3 exons. NCBI's taxonomy places the organism in Eukaryota, Metazoa, Chordata, Mammalia, Artiodactyla, Hippopotamidae. The record is from RefSeq and is a predicted model, not a curated record.